GGUCGGAUGGCCGAGAGGUUAGGCAGAGCUCUGCAAAAGCUCGUACAGCGGUUCAAAUCCGCUUCCGACCU
This 71-nucleotide transfer RNA is filed under the name Chitinophagales bacterium. Its description in RNAcentral is "tRNA-Cys". It matches the Rfam family "tRNA". Rfam says of the family: Transfer RNA (tRNA) molecules are approximately 80 nucleotides in length. Their secondary structure includes four short double-helical elements and three loops (D, anti-codon, and T loops). Further hydrogen bonds mediate the characteristic L-shaped molecular structure. tRNAs have two regions of fundamental functional importance: the anti-codon, which is responsible for specific mRNA codon recognition, and the 3' end, to which the tRNAs corresponding amino acid is attached (by aminoacyl-tRNA synthetases). tRNAs cope with the degeneracy of the genetic code in two manners: having more than one tRNA (with a specific anti-codon) for a particular amino acid; and 'wobble' base-pairing, i.e. permitting non-standard base-pairing at the 3rd anti-codon position. The record is from RNAcentral. Lineage: Bacteria; Pseudomonadati; Bacteroidota; Chitinophagia; Chitinophagales.